UACGGAGGAUGCGAGCGUUAUCCGGAUUCAUUGGGUUUAAAGGGUGCGUAGGCGGACUUAUAAGUCAGUGGUGAAAACCUGCAGCUUAACUGUAGACGUGCCAUUGAUACUGUAAGUCUUGAGUGUGGUCAAGGUAGGCGGAAUGUGUAAUGUAGCGGUGAAAUGCUUAGAUAUUACACAGAACACCAAUUGCGAAGGCAGCUUACUGGGCCGUUACUGACGCUGAUGCACGAAAGCGUGGGGAG
RNAcentral lists this ribosomal RNA (245 nucleotides) under uncultured bacterium. Its description in RNAcentral is "partial 16S ribosomal RNA". It matches the Rfam family "Bacterial small subunit ribosomal RNA", at positions 524 to 768 of the family's 1533-position model. The record is from RNAcentral.